UCUUCAUCAAUUACUGAGACCCACGUGACCAAAUUUAAAUUUCCCGCUUUAAAUAUUUUUUCUUUAUGUUGGUAGACACGGACAGUUGGUUAAAACAAAAUACCCAAAUUGCAUAUUUGUUUAUUUCACCUCCUGUCAAUCUUUGCUUGUGUUUACCGUUUUUUUCGAAUUUCUUUAACAUUAUCUUAAAUCAACAGCCAAAACAGUUCUUUUCAGAGCUCUUAACGCUACGAAGUUAUUCUGAUUGUAUCGCUGUAGGAAGAUGGUGUUCACACCAGAGCAAGAUGCUUUUAUUUUAAUGGCACAUUUCCGCAGUGGUAACCGAAAUCCUGAUGGAACUUGGAGCUAUUCACUGCAAUCGUGCAUUGAACAGUUUUCCGAAGAGUACCCUGAUGUUAAUAUCGACUACGAUGUAUUUAAGAACCACAGGUCACGUCUAA
Photinus pyralis (common eastern firefly) is the source of this 440-nucleotide long non-coding RNA. RefSeq lists it as uncharacterized. The record is from RefSeq and is a predicted model, not a curated record. NCBI's taxonomy places the organism in Eukaryota, Metazoa, Arthropoda, Insecta, Coleoptera, Lampyridae. The transcript has 2 exons.